This is a long non-coding RNA of Sceloporus undulatus (fence lizard), 1062 nucleotides long. RefSeq lists it as uncharacterized. The record is from RefSeq and is a predicted model, not a curated record. NCBI's taxonomy places the organism in Eukaryota, Metazoa, Chordata, Lepidosauria, Squamata, Phrynosomatidae. The transcript has 3 exons.
AGAGGAUGGGGUGGAUUUUACACAGGUAACUACAACAGAAAGGCCAGCCUGAAGUCCAGCCACAGCAUAUGAACAAAGAAAGCAAAGUGACCUCAAAAUUCUUCAAUGCAUUACUUGUGGCAAACCAAUGCAUGGGCUGCACUACUUUGGAUUGCAAGUGGGGAGUGUCCCUGGCCGAAUCCUUCCACCAUAUAAAGAACUCUUUCAAUAUAAAUGGCAGAAUGGAUCUUUAUAGCACACCUUUGUUUGAUAUAUCGUUUUCUGGAGUAAUUUUUUUCCCCUCAUAUGGAAGGACAUACAAUCAUGUGAGCCCUGCACCUGCAGUUGUAAAUGGUAUAUCCCAGAUGCAGGAUUACCACCAGAGAGAAGUUUAUAUGAACAACACAAAGAACCCGAAAUAACCAAUCGAAAUAUAGGAGUGCUGGUGGGCAACAAAAGGAAAAAAAAAUCAGCAAAGCCAACACAUCUGCUCCCAGUAUCUGCCAAAUAGUUAGGCAAUUCUUGUAGAAUAACUUCACUUACCUACUGAUGCAUCUGGGUUCCCAUAAUUAUUAUCCAGGGACACAGACAGAAAGACAUAAACAAAGAGAGAGUCAGAACACAAUAUAAAUAAAUAGCAGUUCACUACCACAGCUAGUUUGCCCAAUGUAAACUCAUUUUAAGUUUACUAAUGCUUUGAAAUCGUCACUCACAUUUGUUAGGUGACAUUUUACAAUUCAUUAUUGUAUGCAUCAAGGGAUAAAAAUGUUUAUGGAGCAGGAAUGUAUGUAUGUUUUUUUAGAAAAAAAUACUGAUAUGUGGUGGCAAGCAACAAAAUAAACUCAUAUCUAGAUACAUAUUGGGGUUCGGAGGCAUAAACUUUUGCAGCCAUUCCCGUAUUACCCUUUGUACAUGUACAGAUGUACAUCCCUUUAUACAUGGCAAUGUGUGUGUGUGUGUGUGUGUGUGUGUGUAUGAAAAGUGAACACUGAAAAUUGGUUUUAAAGCCAUGAUUUAGUGAUUUACAGCAUCGACAAUUCAAUUUCUUGCUAAAGGCAGACUUGAAUAUAGGAGGUGGAGAAC